AGGUUUUCUUAUUACACAGGCUAUUAAAAAUGAAUAAUAAAAAAAAAACCAAGGUUGACCUUUUGUUCAAAACAGCGACCAGAUGUGAUCCACAGGAGUUAGUUGACUGGCAGUGAUAGAGGAAGAGGAAGAAAGGAGUAAAGAAGCCUUUCCGGUUUCGUGCUUGACUAAUGGGCAGAAUUUGGUUUCACCCACUAACGAGCAAGCUCCCUGAGCUGAGCAGAGGACAUGGCCUUUGUAAGCUGAAGAGGACUAAAGAAGCAGAAACUGACCAAAAAGCAGAUGGUUCAUUUCAAAGUUACUCUCCUUACAUGGUUGAGACAGGAGACCUCUUUAUCAUGCCAACUCAGGUAAGUUGCACCCUGCCCUGGUUGCUGUAAGUCUCCUGGUUUGUUUUUGUUUGUUUGUUUUUUGAAAACUGGCCCAUUUGAAAGUUUAGUUUAAUUACAUGUCAUCUAACACUGUUAUCACAUAAUUAGACAUUGCCCAGGAUAUACAAGUAGCAACUUUCUCCAUGGGCAAAUGGCAGAGGCAUUCAGUGUGCCAAUGGGGGACAGUGUCAAAUUUCCCAGUAGUGCUCUGUAUUCACAGCUUCAGCUGUUGGCAUCAGAAAGAGAUCUCUGCCACUAUGGAGGGCAGUUUAUAUUCGGUCAGCUGCCUGCCCUUUUGGCCAAGAGAAAUGUGAUUAGGAGAACAUAAACAGUAUGGCAUAGGUGGGCUCAAAAAUAGAUGGUGCUAGGGACAUAAAUGCAUAGGUGGAAUUGUCCUUGACUAUAGGUAUAAAUAUAGAUAUAGUCCUUGAUGACAGAUAGAUAGACUGAUUGAGUCCUUGAAUACAUACACACACACACACACACACACACACACACACACACACACACACACAGUCUAGUGCUCCUAGGCUGCAAAGCUGAGCAGCAUGUUACCAUACUGAAUGCUGUAAGCAAUUGUAACACAAUUGUAAGUAUUUGUAUAUCUAAAUAGAGAAAAGAUAUAGUAGGGCUGGUGUGGUGGCUCACGCCUGUAAUCCAAGCACUUUGGAGGCCAAGGUGGGUGGAUCACCUGAGGUUGGGAGUUCAAGACCAGCCUGACCAACAUGGUCAAACCCCCUCUUUAAAAAAUAUAUACGUUUAUAUUAAAAUAAAUAAAUAAAUAAAUAAAUAAAUAAAAAGAUAUAGUAAAAAUAAAGCAUAAAAUAUUUAAAAUGGUACACCUAUAUAGAUCACUUACCUUAAUUGGAGCUUUCAGGAUGAAGUUGCUCUGGGUGAGUCAGUAAGUGCUGAGUGAAUGUGAAGGCCAAGGACAUUACUCUGCUGUAGACUUCGUACACACUGUACAUUAGAUUCCUAUUUUUUAAAUAAAGUAAUGACACUACUAUGUUACAAUGGCUAUGGUGUUUUCACUAGAUGAUAGGAUUUUUUUGGCUUCACUAUAAUCUUAUGGACCACUGUCAUAUAUGCAUCUGCAGUUGACUGAAAUGUCAACCAUAUUUGACAUUUCUAGCCCAUAAGUGUAGUGGAGAAAACAUAGGAUAAUAGUUUUUAAAUCUUUAAGAUUUUGCUUGGGAUGAUGCUAAGGUCAAUAGUCAUUACAAAGUAUUGAUUCUCAGAAGAUCUUGGAAUCUCCACAGAGCUGAAUAAACCCACUGUUUUUGUAUACAAAUUGAAGAGUGUUCAGCCGGGGCACCGUGAGAUCUCAGCAUGCUUCUGAGAACAUCCAAAGUGAAUUUAUGUGAACUCAGGCCUGGGAUGUAAUUAAAGAAAGCUGUGACGUCAUCAGUUGUGUUGUAAAUUGACCUUCCUAGUUGGUAGCAGGAGGGUGCUGAACUGAAUGUCAGACCCUUGGACGCAAAAGGAAACUUGCGUAUCUCAGUGAAUGGAAAGAUCUUGAACUAGAACACCUUCUAUCAAGUCAUGAACAACUUCUCCAAACUGGAACCAGUACUCUGCCUCUAUUUGGUCAGUUCCCAUUCAUGUUUUUAUUUUGCUAUUUGCACAGAUAAAACAAGAAGGCAUUGCUGUUAUAAAAAGUGUAAGCAAUACUAUUUUUUGAAUAUUGCAUAAAAUGUGGACGUUUCCAUCAUGUCACACCCAAUCCCACUUUCUUACCCAGAGGUUACAGCUGUGUAUUUAUGCAGUAGAUGCCUGUCAGUCCUUUGGCCUUUCCCUUCUUGAGGUCACUAAGAUGGUCAUGCAAACGGCCACCCCUUCCAACAGAGCCCAUGUGAUCUGAGGGGAAGUUGACUCCACCCACCCGCCCGUAAUGGGCCACCAUCAGUCUAGGGCUGUGUCUUACCAAAAUGUGGACCUUGAAGCCUAAAGCCUCCUCAAGACCCUUUCAGGUGGUCUGAGGAAAAAAUAUUUUCACAGUGAUACUGAGACAUCAUUUGCCUUUUACCUAUUAGAUUUGCAGUGGGGAUGCAAAAGCAGGGGUAGGUAAAUCCACUGGCACCUCGCUGGGAGUAAGGCAGUGACACAGAAAUGUACCUACUAGUGACCACCGUGUUCUUCAUCACAUGUGAUCAUGGCAAACAACGCUACACUUGAGAAUAUCCUCAAUGCAGUAACAACAACAACAAAAUCAGUUUUAUUAAAUCUUAGCUGUGGAGUAACAUCUUAAUAAUCCUUCAUGUGACUAAACGGAACUUGCACGGGGCACGUGGGAUGCAUACCCAAGUGCAAUAGCUCCCCUGCAGGAAGCGACCUCUGAGCUGCGCGCUGAGCCAGCUGCUUUCUUCACGGAGAGUCUUUUACUUGAAAGAAUAGCUAGCAGUUAAACUGGUGAGUCUGGCAGACUUUUUUUUUUUUUUUUUCCAAAAACAAAUUCACUUCAAAAGAAAACAACGGGUAAUAUUGCCAACAAUAAAAUUGGAACUUUCAAAUGAAAACUUGAGUCUUGGAAAACUUAUAUUGUUCUAUGAGCCUCAUACCUUCUCAAUUCUUGAAGACUUUUUCAUGAGAUCUGCGGCAAUGGCAACCAUUGUGGGUUUUCAAAACUGUAUGAUGAAAUGCAUUUGGAAAGUUGGCACAAUGCAGUAAACCAACAUUUUGAAUAAUGCAUGAUGUUUAAAAAUGAUGAAUGGGUAAAUGGCUCUUGUAAGCUUAAGAUAUACCAAUGGGUUUUAAUUUAAGUACAAAAAUUUCAUUGAUAUGAUCUCAAACUUUACAUGGCUGCUAACCUUUAAGCAAUUACCAGUUUCUGAGUUUUAGUAUAAUAUGAAAGAAUAGUCACUUUAUCUGAAAAGGUUAUAAAGAUACCCCUUCCAGGCUGGGCACUGCGGGUAGUUCAUGCCUACAAUCCCAGCACUGUGGGAGGCUGAGGUGGGCAGAUUGUUUGAACUCAGGAGUUUGAAACCAGCCUAGGCAAUAUGGCAAAACCCAAUGUUUCACCACAAAAAAUACAAGAAUUCGCCAUACAUGGUGGUGCAUAC
Molecule: long non-coding RNA, 3430 nt
Filed under: Callithrix jacchus (white-tufted-ear marmoset)
Lineage: Eukaryota; Metazoa; Chordata; Mammalia; Primates; Cebidae
Description: lncRNA (ENSCJAG00000080098.1)
Source: RNAcentral